RNAcentral lists this ribosomal RNA (253 nucleotides) under uncultured bacterium. RNAcentral's name for it is "partial 16S ribosomal RNA". It matches the Rfam family "Bacterial small subunit ribosomal RNA", at positions 524 to 776 of the family's 1533-position model. The record is from RNAcentral.
UACGUAGGGCGCGAGCGUUGUCCGGAAUUAUUGGGCGUAAAGGGCUCGUAGGCGGUUUGUCGCGUCGGGAGUGAAAUCCACUGGUUUAACUGGUGGCUUGCUUUCGAUACGGGCAGACUGGAGGUAUGCAGGGGAGAACGGAAUUCCUGGUGUAGCGGUGAAAUGCGCAGAUAUCAGGAGGAACGCCGGUGGCGAAGGCGGUUCUCUGGGCAUGUCCUGACGCUGAGGAGCGAAAGUGUGGGGAGCGAACAGG